CACGUAGGAAUGUGUCCGGAGGUGGGGGACAACCCUCGGAAACAAGGCCUAAUACCGCAUAUGGGCUGAGGCCCAAACCCGCGAGGCGCCUUUGGAGUAGCCUGCGUCCGAUUAGCUAGUUGGUGGGGUAAAGGCCUACCAAGGCGACGAUCGGUAGCUGGUCUGAGAGGACGACCAGCCACACUGGGACUGAGACACGGCCCAGACUCCUACGGGAGGCAGCAGUGGGGAAUAUUGGACAAUGGGCGCAAGCCUGAUCCAGCAAUGCCGCGUGGGUGAAGAAGGUCUUCGGAUCGUAAA
This 300-nucleotide ribosomal RNA is filed under the name uncultured Acetobacteraceae bacterium. RNAcentral describes it as "bacterial SSU rRNA". It matches the Rfam family "Bacterial small subunit ribosomal RNA", at positions 114 to 429 of the family's 1533-position model. The record is from RNAcentral. Lineage: Bacteria; Pseudomonadati; Pseudomonadota; Alphaproteobacteria; Acetobacterales; Acetobacteraceae.